GACGAACGCUGGCGGCGUGCCUAAUACAUGCAAGUAGAACGCUGAAGAGAGGAGCUUGCUCUUCUUGGAUGAGUUGCGAACGGGUGAGUAACGCGUAGGUAACCUGCCUUGUAGCGGGGGAUAACUAUUGGAAACGAUAGCUAAUACCGCAUAACAAUGGAUGACACAUGUCAUUUAUUUGAAAGGGGCAAUUGCUCCACUACAAGAUGGACCUGCGUUGUAUUAGCUAGUAGGUGAGGUAACGGCUCACCUAGGCGACGAUACAUAGCCGACCUGAGAGGGUGCUCGGCCACACUGGGACUGAGACACGGCCCAGACUCCUACGGGAGGCAGCAGUAGGGAAUCUUCGGCAAUGGGGGCAACCCUGACCGAGCAACGCCGCGUGAGUGAAGAAGGUUUUCGGAUCGUAAAGCUCUGUUGUAAGUCAAGAACGGGUGUGAGAGUGGAAAGUUCACACUGUGACGGUAGCUUACCAGAAAGGGACGGCUAACUACGUG
This 497-nucleotide ribosomal RNA is filed under the name uncultured bacterium. Its description in RNAcentral is "partial 16S ribosomal RNA". It matches the Rfam family "Bacterial small subunit ribosomal RNA", at positions 28 to 507 of the family's 1533-position model. The record is from RNAcentral.